GCUAUGACUACCAAAAUCACAUUAAUAUUCCGCUAUUGUCCUCUACAACAUAUAUUCUGGGACAACUACUACAAACAGCUAAAAGCACAAGCAAGGCUUCAGAAGCCCCGUGAUUACUAAGUACAAGUAUACAACAUAUUUUAGAUGAUAGUAGCGCCAUCUACCUUGACCUCUUGCUUCGAAAUAUAGUCUGAAGUUACGUGUGCAAUCAAGGCAAUUCCAAGAACUAGUGGAACUUUAUACUUUGAAAGAGCUAUCUAUGCUUUGGAUCACUUUGGCUUUGAGUCACUUCCCUUGCUUCUGAAUGUCGACAAGGAGAAGAAUGAUCUUGGAGCUUUUAUUGAGCUCCCUGAUAACUGAUCCUCACGCAAUUUGAAGUUAGCUGGUGGUGCUGGAAUUGAACUGCGCAAGGCUUGAACUUGUUCACUGAAAUACUCAUUCUCAUAAAAGCUAUCAUCAGAUUGAUGAUCCUGAGAGAAACCCAUUCUUGACUUUCUUAAAUCAUCUGAAGAUCGAUUAGAAGGGUCACGUCCAUCUUCUGUAUCAUCAUCUCCUUCAGAAGUGGUAGCAGAAAUCCAGUCAACCAAAGUAUCUGUGCCGCGAUUUUUCCUCCCAAAUUUCAGAAACCGUUUAAAUCCUCUGGCCAUAUCUUUGCGUGAUUGAUUAUGAGAAGAAUUUGCCACAAGCAUAGGUUUCUGAGC
This 701-nucleotide unclassified non-coding RNA is filed under the name Hevea brasiliensis (rubber tree). The record is from RNAcentral. Lineage: Eukaryota; Viridiplantae; Streptophyta; Magnoliopsida; Malpighiales; Euphorbiaceae.